AUUUUAGAUGCGGAUAAACGUUUAUCUCUGCAAACCUCCAACUCGUACACCAGUGAGUGCGCGGGUCAGUGCGAGUCAUUAUCUGCAGUGACACGGGGGGCCAGGAGGUGUUGCAGCAGGCUUUUGGUGAUCUAUUUGAAAAUACGAGUAUCUGCAUGCGUUUGAGUCUCGGCACCGGAGAGCUUCCGGGCAGGGCGGAUUGUCUUUCAUUGUGCCUGCUAAUUCUUUCAACUACUCUUCUGCCAUUUACCGGACGGUGAAUGUUGUUAAUUGGGGUACCAGUCCUAGCCAGUGUCCUGUGUGUGGUGGUGGUGCGGCUAUAGAUUUGCAGUGUUCACAACGUGGGUGUUGGUGCUGUGUUGUGAGAGCACGAGUGGUUGCUGUGUUCAUUGGAUAAGUAACUUGAAUCCCCCAGUUCUGAAGUUGGAAAAUUGUGUUUGCAUUUCAUGUUUUUAUGAUCAACGCCUAUCUUUUUUUUUAACUGCUUAUGAAAAUAUUCAAUUUUGUAUGUAUUAAAUAGUGAUUUUGAAUAAAUUGUUGAAUCCUUUAUACUGUUGUCUGAUAUCUGUCUCAGCCACCACAUAUCUGUGUGCUGGUGGUACAUUGUAUACCGGUAGGUCCCCGGCCAAUUUUCGGGGUGGCGUAGUCUAUAUUUCUUGUCAUAGUUGGCGCUGGUUUA
Long non-coding RNA from Carassius carassius (crucian carp), 679 nucleotides. RefSeq lists it as uncharacterized. The record is from RefSeq and is a predicted model, not a curated record. The transcript is spliced from 3 exons. NCBI's taxonomy places the organism in Eukaryota, Metazoa, Chordata, Actinopteri, Cypriniformes, Cyprinidae.